This 349-nucleotide ribosomal RNA is filed under the name uncultured bacterium. RNAcentral describes it as "bacterial SSU rRNA". It matches the Rfam family "Bacterial small subunit ribosomal RNA", at positions 28 to 350 of the family's 1533-position model. The record is from RNAcentral.
GAUGAACGCUAGCGGCGUGCUUAACACAUGCAAGUCGAACGGAAAAGAGAAUAUCUUUUUAGUGGCAAACGGGUGAGUAAUAUGUGAGAAUUUCCCCUUAUGACAGAGGAUAACUUUUAGAAAUAAUGGCUAAAACUCUAUAUGUUGUUACUAGCAAUGAAUUCAUUUCUAAGAUAGGAAUGCAAUUUGUUAGUAGCAAUAGAAAAAGAAAUUUGUCUAAGGAAAAGACUCAUAUUUGUAUUAGCUAGUUGGUAGGGUAAGAGUCUACCAAGGCGACGAUCAUAGUUGGCCUGAGAGGAUGAUCAGCCACACUGGAACUGAGACACGGUCCAGACUCCUAUGGGAGGCA